GAUGAACGCUGGCGGCGUGCCUAAUACAUGCAAGUCGAGCGAACAGACGGGGAGCUUGCUCCUCUGACGUUAGCGGCGGACGGGUGAGUAACACGUGUAUAACCUACCUAUAAGACUGGGAUAACUUCGGGAAACCGGAGCUAAUACCGGAUAAUAUAUUGAACCGCAUGGUUCAAUAGUGAAAUACGGUUUUGCUGUCACUUAUAGAUGGAUCCGCGCCGCAUUAGCUAGUUGGUAAGGUAACGGCUUACCAAGGCAACGAUGCGUAGCCGACCUGAGAGGGUGAUCGGCCACACUGGAAGUGAGACACGGUCCAGACUCCUACGGGAGGCAGCAGUAGGGAAUCUUCCGCAAUGAGCGAAAGCCUGACGGAGCAACGCCGCGUGAGUGAUGAAGGUCUUCGGAUCGUAAAACUCUGUUAUUAGGGAAGAACAAAUGUGUAAGUAACUAUGCACGUCUUGACGGUACCUAAUCAGAAAGCCACGGCUAACUACGUG
RNAcentral lists this ribosomal RNA (497 nucleotides) under uncultured bacterium. RNAcentral describes it as "partial 16S ribosomal RNA". It matches the Rfam family "Bacterial small subunit ribosomal RNA", at positions 28 to 507 of the family's 1533-position model. The record is from RNAcentral.